CAUUUCCAUCAACUCCAGAUAGGAUGUCAUUAACGUGCAAUCACAUUUCUGCGGGAUGGAUCUGUUGCCUCUCUCCCACAGGUGAACUAUGGAAAGGAGUGUCACUUACAAGGAUCCAGAAGGAACAGUGUUUCUCCUCAAAUACCUCGCUCCACAUCGUUUUCUCUACUGAUAGAGUAGAUGACGUGGAGCAAGCGAGGCUCAUGGAUCCUUGGAGGCCACACUCCUUCCCAUAGUUAACCUGUGGGAGGGAGGCAAUAGGUCCAUCCCGCAGAGAUGUGACAACACGCGUUAUGUUCAUCCUAUCUGGAGUUGAUGGGAAAAGUCUGAUGUUCUCCAGAUUCAAGCGAGAGGGGUCAAUGAAGGCUGGACUAGCUAUUUGACAUCAUCGGGGUAAUACAAAAAGAUUGUAUGUAUGGCUGCAGCACGUGGUGUCAUGACUCGCUUGAUGCAAGGGUCGAGUUGGUGAAGACUCAAGCGGUGUCCAGCAGGGGAGGGAACGUCUGGCUUCAUUCCUCCACGCUGGGUACUUCAGGGUUAGGGAGAUCCUAGUCUCCUCAAGGGCCAGUCCUGUCUUCUCCCUGCAAACUAUUAUUACUUCCAAGCUUUGUAAAGUAUAUAUCACAAACGAACACAGUAUA
Eriocheir sinensis (Chinese mitten crab) is the source of this 641-nucleotide long non-coding RNA. RefSeq lists it as uncharacterized. The record is from RefSeq and is a predicted model, not a curated record. Lineage: Eukaryota; Metazoa; Arthropoda; Malacostraca; Decapoda; Varunidae. The transcript is spliced from 2 exons.